This 394-nucleotide ribosomal RNA is filed under the name uncultured bacterium. Its description in RNAcentral is "bacterial SSU rRNA". It matches the Rfam family "Bacterial small subunit ribosomal RNA", at positions 28 to 417 of the family's 1533-position model. The record is from RNAcentral.
GACGAACGCUGGCGGCGUGCUUAACACAUGCAAGUGGAGCGACGAACCAGGCUUCGGCCUGGGGCAGAGCCGCGAACGGGUGAGUAACACGUGGGUAACCUGCCUCGAUGACCGGGACAACCCGGGGAAACCCGGGCUAAUACCGGAUGUGCUGCCUUCACAUCAGUGGGGACAGGAAAGGAGCUUCGGCCUCCGCAUCGAGAUGGGCCCGNGGCCCAUUAGCUUGUUGGUGAGGUAAGGCUCACCAAGGCCGCGAUGGGUAGCUGGUCUGAGAGGACGAUCAGCCACACUGGGACUGAGACACGGCCCAGACUCCUACGGGAGGCAGCAGUGGGGAAUCUUGCGCAAUGCGCGAAAGCGUGACGCAGCAACGCCGCGUGGGGGAAGAAGGCCU